RNAcentral lists this non-coding RNA (132 nucleotides) under Homo sapiens (human). The record is from Rfam by way of RNAcentral. Lineage: Eukaryota; Metazoa; Chordata; Mammalia; Primates; Hominidae.
GCCGGGUGUGGUGGCGUGCGCCUGUAAUCCCAGCUACUCGGGAGGCUGAGGCAGGAAAAUUGCUUGAACCCAGGAGGCGGAGAUUGCACCGCUGCACUCCAGCCUGGGUGAUAAAGCAAGACUCUGUCUCAA